This 408-nucleotide ribosomal RNA is filed under the name uncultured bacterium. RNAcentral's name for it is "partial 16S ribosomal RNA". It matches the Rfam family "Bacterial small subunit ribosomal RNA", at positions 28 to 526 of the family's 1533-position model. The record is from RNAcentral.
GACGAACGCUGGCGGCGUGCUUAACACAUGCAAGUCGAACGGAGUGGCGAACGGGUGAGUAACACGUGGGUGAUCUGCCUUGCACUUCGGGCUAAGCUUGGGAAACUGGGUCUAAUACCGGAUAGUGCAAGAUGAGCUCGCGGCCUAUCAGCUUGUUGGGGAGGUAAUGGCCUACCAAGGCGUCGACGGGUAGCCGGCCUGAGAGGGUGUACGGCCACAUUGGGACUGCGAUACGGCGCAGAGGCCUACGGGAGGCAGCAGUGGGGAAUAUUGCACAAUAGGCGGAAGCGUGAUGCAGCGACGCUGCGUGGGGGAGGAAGGCCUUCGGGUUGUGAACUCCUUUCGACAGGGACGCGGUACCCGUAUAGGAAGCACCGGCUAACUACGUGCCAGCAGCCGCGGUAAUUC